GAAAAAACAAAACAGGUACAGAAAAACACACAAAACAAAUAGAUAGCUUAAUGAGUUAUUACAAAGCAAACACUUUUGUAAUCACCAACCAAGCCAAGAAAUAGAGCUCUGCCAACCCUCACCCCCACCCAAAAGCCCCUCCAUAUACUCAUUCCAAUGAUAACCUCCUCUCUCCACAAAAGUAGCCACCAUUCUGAGCAUUAUAGCAAUCAUGGCUUUCUUUACAGUAUUAUCACCCAAGUGUAAUAAGACAUCCAAGUGUACAUUCCUGGACUAUUAUUUAGUCUUAUCUGCUAAGCAAUGUUUCCUUUUAAGUCUCUUUUAAUCUAUAGGUUCCUCCUCCAAUCCUUUUCUUUACACCCUGUUAAAGAACACAGAUCACUUAACCUGUACACUCUCCUACACUCUAAAUGCUGCUGACUGUACACCCAUGGUUCAACAAGUUUCUCUGUCUUCAUUUCCUUUAUAUUGUUUGCUGGGUCCAGAGGCAUGAUUAGAUUCAAGUCUUCCUCUGGGAAGACUAGGUGCUGUGGUCUGAAUGUUUGUGUCCCCCCUAAAUUCAUAUGUUGAAAUCCUAACCCUCCAAAAUGAUGGUAUUAAUAGGUGGGGCCUUAGGGAGGUGAUUAGGUCAUGAGGGAGGAGCCUUCAUGAAUGGGAUUAGAACUCUUAUCAAAGAGAUCCCACAGAGCUCCCUAGGGCCUUCCACCAUGUGAGGAUACAAUGAUAAGUCUGCAACCCAGAAGAGGGUUCUCACCGACCAUGCUGGCAGCCUCCAGAAUUCAUCCAACUCAGCUCCUUGUCUGAAGACCACGCUCGGGAAAGCCAGGUGAAGACCCAAGAGGGCCAGAAGAGAUGUGAAGAUAUUUUAUAACAGAAUGUGAAAUACAGUAUUUAUUGAUGAAAAAAUAAAGCCAAUGGUAGUUCAGACUUGUUUAAAGUGACAUCGGGACUUCCCUGGUGGUACAGUGGUGAAGAAUCUGCCUGCCAAUGCAGGGGACACAAGUUCAAUCCCCGGUCCAGGAAGACCCCAUGUGCCGCGGAGCAAUUAAGCCCAUGUGCCACAGCUACUGAGCCUGCGCUCUAGAGCUUGCGAGCCACAACUACUGAAGCCCACACGCCCUAGAGCCCAUGCACUGCAACUACUGGGCCUGUAUGCUGCGACUACUGACGCCUGCGCGCCUAGAGCCUGUGCUCUGCAACAAGAGGAGCCACUGCAAUGAGAAGCCCACGCACUACAACGAAGAGUAGCCUCCGCUUGCUGCAACUAGAGAAAGCCCGCGCACAGCAAUGAAGACCCAACACAGGCAAAAAAUAAAUAAUAAAUAAAUAAAUAAAGUAACAUCAUCAUUGACUGAAUUAUUCAUUGUAUCUAGCUAUUUCCUGAACAGUGUAUAUAACC
Molecule: long non-coding RNA, 1399 nt
Organism: Orcinus orca (killer whale)
Lineage: Eukaryota; Metazoa; Chordata; Mammalia; Artiodactyla; Delphinidae
Exons: 3
Source: RefSeq, a predicted model, not a curated record